GACGAACGCUGGCGGCGUGCCUAAUACAUGCAAGUCGAGCGAGCGGAACUAACCGAUUUACUUCGGUAAUGACGUGAGGAAAGCGAGCGGCGGAUGGGUGAGUAACACGUGGGGAACCUGCCCCAUAGCCUGGGAUACCACUUGGAAACAGGUGCUAAUACCGGAGAAGAAAGCAGAUCGCAUGAUCAGCUUUUACAAGGCGGCGUAAGCUUUCGCUAUGGGAUGGCCCCGCGGUGCAUUAGCUAGUUGGUAAGGUAAAGGCUUACCAAGGCGAUGAUGCAUAGCCGAGUUGAGAGACUGAUCGGCCACAUUGGGACUGAGACACGGCCCACACUCCUACGGGAGGCAGCAGUAGGGAAUCUUCCACAAUGGACGCAAGUCUGAUGGAGCAACGCCGCGUGAGUGAAGAAGGUUUUCGGAUCGUAAAGCUCUGUUGUUGGUGAAGAAGGAUAGAGGUAGUAACUCGCCUUUAUUUGACGGUAAUCAAACAGAAAGUCACGGCUAACUACGUG
This 512-nucleotide ribosomal RNA is filed under the name uncultured bacterium. Its description in RNAcentral is "partial 16S ribosomal RNA". It matches the Rfam family "Bacterial small subunit ribosomal RNA", at positions 28 to 507 of the family's 1533-position model. The record is from RNAcentral.